AAUAGAUACCCGGGUAGUCCACGCCGUAAACGAUGUCGACUUGGAGGUUGUGCCCUUGAGGCGUGGCUUCCGGAGCUAACGCGUUAAGUCGACCGCCUGGGGAGUACGGCCGCAAGGUUAAAACUCAAAUGAAUUGACGGGGGGCCCGCACAAGCGGUGGAGCAUGUGGUUUAAUUCGAUGCAACGCGAAGAACCUUACCUACUCUUGACAUCCAGAGAACUUAGCAGAGAUGCUUUGGUGCCUUCGGGAACUCUGAGACAGGUGCUGCAUGGCUGUCGUCAGCUCGUGUUGUGAAAUGUUGGGUUAAGUCCCGCAACGAGCGCAACCCUUAUCUUUUGUUGCCAGCGGUUAGGCCGGGAACUCAAAGGAGACUGCCAGUGAUAAACUGGAGGAAGGUGGGGAUGACGUCAAGUCAUCAUGGCCCUUACGAGUAGGGCUACACACGUGCUACAAUGGCAUAUACAAAGAGAAGCGACCUCGCGAGAGCAAGCGGACCUCAUAAAGUAUGUCGUAGUCCGGA
This 521-nucleotide ribosomal RNA is filed under the name uncultured bacterium. Its description in RNAcentral is "bacterial SSU rRNA". It matches the Rfam family "Bacterial small subunit ribosomal RNA", at positions 777 to 1297 of the family's 1533-position model. The record is from RNAcentral.